This is a long non-coding RNA of Piliocolobus tephrosceles (Ugandan red Colobus), 949 nucleotides long. RefSeq lists it as uncharacterized. Lineage: Eukaryota; Metazoa; Chordata; Mammalia; Primates; Cercopithecidae. The record is from RefSeq and is a predicted model, not a curated record. The transcript has 4 exons.
UCUCAACAGGCCCCAGCCCUAACCACAAGCCAGAUCCUUCCCUGCUCUCUCAGACCAUUUCACACCCACCUGGGAGGCCUGUCUGUCCGCUCAAAGAGCUCAAUUAUGCCAUUUUAUUUCAUUUCCACUUCACAAAUCCAACAUAGUUAAUCGGGUUUGAUAUUAAUGAGCCUGUACAGCUAAAACAUGGAAAUAUAAUAACUACUGUUGAUCAAUCUUUCAGCUACUUUUUUAUAUCUGUCUCAAGAACUCCAUCUCAAAGAGUAAAUUCAUAUUAUGAAGACUUUAUUCAUAAAGCAGCAGAAGUUUGGGGUUACUCAUUAUGUUAUGCCUCCUACUAACAUAGGACAUUUUGGAGAAGGAAUUCUACUACGAUUUUCCAGGAAACAUGAACUUCUGAGCCAUCUGAGACAAUACCAUCCGCUUGGACUUCCUUGACAUGAACAGAGACAUACGUGAAACUUCAAUUCAGUGAACUUGAAAGGGCACUGGAAUCUUGAUCUCCAUCUUGGUGAUGAAUUUUGGAAAAAGCUAAUUGUACAUUUAAGAUCCAGGGCUAAAUAUUGACCAUGUGACUUGGUAACUUCUGUAAGACUCAGUUUCCAAGUGAGGAACAUCCUUCUAAUGGGAAGUUCUCAAUAAAAGAAAGUAGUUUUCAUAUUUUUUGACUCCAAAUGCUUGUAUGAUCCAGACAGCACUGUCUUUCCUUGGCUUUCCUUUCUCUAAUUCUCUACCCCCCACUCUCCUGUCUCCCUUAUGCAGAAUGUUAUCUUGGCACCUGGGUUCCAUUUAUUAUUAGUCAUCUCUAAAGAUCUUGUUGAAGCGAAACUGAUUUUUAUAUUAUAACAUAGAAAUUUGUCUGAACCAAUAAUUAGGAUAUUGGUCAUUAUCGUUGACAUUCUGUCCUCAAGUAGUAUAAAUCUCUAAAUUCAAACUCAUAUAGUUUCCG